CCCUCCACCCCAGCCAUACCUCAACCCUAAUGCCUUCAGCAACAACCCCAUGAUAUGCCUUCUCCACCAUCAACAUGCCUCUUCCACCCUUCUCAAAUAAAACUAGCACAGCUUACCCAGUCUCGGACUGAAGGUCAUUGAAUCAAAGAUUCAAUUGCCAGCAAUCCUCGAUUUGGCGCGUAUGUUCAAUGAUGCAUAAAUGGACACACUAGACAAUAGGGAUGUUCCUCAGUAAAGGAUCAGAUAGAAAAUUACUAUCAAACUAACCCAAAUUAGGUCAUCCUGUAGGCUUGUCCAAACAAGAAAGGCUAAAUAGGAACCAGCAUCCAAUUGAAUCCAUGACACACUGCAACCAGCUUAACACAACACAUAAUUCACCCUGUGCACAAAUCUAACUAAAAUUUAGUAAUACUAUCACAAACUAAAAUAAUGAAAAAUAAAAUUCCUUCUAAAUCCCAAUCUGAUACCUUUUUUUGUCUCAUUUCACUCCCCAAGAAAUCUUAGUCUAGGCUAGAGAAAGUAAGUGGGGGAAGGAAGGUAACAACUCAUUCAUACACAUGCCCAACCAUCUUAAACAGCUUGUUUAUAUUUGACACUGAUUGGAAAUAUUUUGCAUUAAUCUUUUCUUUUUCCUUGACUUUUCUACUGAGAAUUGAAGACCAGAUCCACGGUAGAGCACAACAAUGAUUAAAAA
Molecule: long non-coding RNA, 694 nt
Filed under: Phoenix dactylifera (date palm)
Lineage: Eukaryota; Viridiplantae; Streptophyta; Magnoliopsida; Arecales; Arecaceae
Description: long non-coding RNA (PDAC_LNC012541)
Source: RNAcentral